AUUGAACGCUGGCGGAAUGCUUUACACAUGCAAGUCGAACGGCAGCACGGGGGCAACCCUGGUGGCGAGUGGCGAACGGGAGAGUAAUACAUCGGAACGUGCCCAGUCGUGGGGGAUAACGUAGCGAAAGUUACGCUAAUACCGCAUACGAUCUACGGAUGAAAGCGGGGGACCGUAAGGCCUCGCGCGAUUGGAGCGGCCGAUAUCAGAUUAGGUAGUUGGUGGGGUAAAGGCCCACCAAGCCAACGAUCUGUAGCUGGUCUGAGAGGACGACCAGCACACACUGGAACUGAGACACGGUCCAGACUCCUACGGGAGGCAGCAGUGGGGAAUUUUGGACAAUGGGCGAAAGCCUGAUCCAGCCAUUCCGCGUGCAGGAUGAAGGCCCUCGGGCUGUAAACUGCUUUUGUACAGAACGAAAAGGUUUCUACUAAUACUAGGAGCUCAUGACGGUACUGUAAGAAUAAGCACCGGCUAACUACGUGCCAGCCGCCGCAGUAA
This 501-nucleotide ribosomal RNA is filed under the name uncultured bacterium. Its description in RNAcentral is "partial 16S ribosomal RNA". It matches the Rfam family "Bacterial small subunit ribosomal RNA", at positions 30 to 523 of the family's 1533-position model. The record is from RNAcentral.